UCAGGUGGUUAUUGCGGCGGUGUCCCACCUCUUCCCAUUCCGAACAGAGAAGUUAAGCCCGCUUGCGCCGAUGGUACUGCAAUGCAAUGCGGGAGAGUAGGUGGCCGCCUUUU
RNAcentral lists this ribosomal RNA (113 nucleotides) under Prevotella sp. The record is from RNAcentral. RNAcentral also lists the same sequence under 2 other names. Lineage: Bacteria; Pseudomonadati; Bacteroidota; Bacteroidia; Bacteroidales; Prevotellaceae.